This 301-nucleotide unclassified non-coding RNA is filed under the name Glomus sp. RNAcentral's name for it is "partial contains 5.8S ribosomal RNA, internal transcribed spacer 2, and large subunit ribosomal RNA". The stretch from base 1 to 71 matches the Rfam family "5.8S ribosomal RNA", at positions 84 to 154 of the family's 154-position model. Lineage: Eukaryota; Fungi; Glomeromycota; Glomeromycetes; Glomerales; Glomeraceae. The record is from RNAcentral.
GUGAAUCAUCAAAUUUUUGAACGCAAAUUGCGCUUUCUGGUAUUCCGGGAAGUAUGCCUGUUUGGGGGUCAUGUAAAUAAAAAUCGUUGGUUUGGCUGCCUUUCUUGUUUACGCGGCGGAUUUAAGUCUGCUUACCUUCGGUUAAGUGACUUAAAAUUUUUUCAUGGUUUUCGAACGUAUUUAAAUCAUUUACGUACGUUUGAGAUAUCUAAUGCUUAUUAUGUUCGGUCAUCCUCAUUGCCCGCUUCUAUAAUUUUUUCAUUACAUUACCUCAAAUCAGGUAAGAAUACCCGCUGAACUU